This 1259-nucleotide long non-coding RNA is filed under the name Mus pahari (shrew mouse). RNAcentral's name for it is "lncRNA (MGP_PahariEiJ_G0033043.1)". The record is from RNAcentral. Lineage: Eukaryota; Metazoa; Chordata; Mammalia; Rodentia; Muridae.
GUUAAAUGGGCAGACAGACUGGAACUUGAGGGGUAUAGAUAAGAGAAAUAAAGUGGAGGCUUGGAGGCUAUAAUUUCUCUUUCUGUGGUGGUAACAAAAUCAGGGGAUGGAUGGAGUCAGGUGACUGCAGACUGGAACCAGAGCCGGGAAGAGCAAACUGCCCAGAGCAUGGUAAGAAGGACCACACUCCUCAGGAUGUGCUAUGUGGCAUGAUGGAGAAGUCCUCACUGAACUCAGUCCUCACUCAGCGUGCCCAAGUCCCAAUACCCGUGACCCCACUUCCCAGUUGAUUGAAUCCUAGAUUUAAAAGUUCCAUGUUUGAUUUUCCUUCCUUCUGCUUCCUUACUUUAAAGCAAGAUGAAAGAAAAGUAAGUUACCAGGUCCCUGACUUCUGGUCCCUGCUGAAAACUCAAAGAAGACACUGCAUCGAAAAGAAUCCUCAGUGGGCCAGAGGCACAUGUGCUGCAUGCCCAUGCGCAUGCCCUGGCGUGCACUCGCGGUUCUCGGCUUAUAAUUUAGCCAUAUCCUUAUGUUCAUAAAAUUAAAUAGAAUCCUAGAAAUGAUAGUAAGCACAGAAAUUGUACAUUGUGACUCAUAUCAAGUGGAAAGCAGGAAGUCCUAUAACCGUCUCCUAAGUCGUCAGACUAGCUAGAGAGUGCCAUCGGCUUAAUUGCAGGUUUGCACAUUCAGAGAGGAUGCUGUAGAAAUGUUUGAGGAGAAAUACCCUUAUCAAGACACACACACAGUAAACUGGAAUUACCAUCCAACCUAGACAAGAGUGUGUGUUGAAAUUGCCUGAGGAUGUUCACACAACAAACUGAUGUCAAUCUCAGAACUUCUGACAUCUGUAUACAUAUGAUGAUCAACAGAAUUCUGCUGAGAAUUGAGUAUUUUCUUCGGGACACAUCUGCAGCUUCUGUUUGCCUUUUUAUCCCUCUUCUGAAGGUGUUUGCUCACUUUCCUGUAGUUUUGAUUUGCUCACGAGGAUGCCCAGAAGACAGGAAGGUAAGUACAUGCAUAAGCUGUGUUAGACCUUUAGGAAUUCCUUCCUCUGUUUCAGUAUUGUAGUUUUGGUUUUGUUUAAAAAAAAAUGAGAUGAAAGCCCAUUUUCUCAUUUAUAAUUAUCCCCACAAGAACUGGUAGCUCUGUGAGCACAGAGAAGAGGCAUGACAGACAACCAAUACAUCCUAUCUUUAGAAGUAUUGGCAGGUUUCUAUAGGAAAUACAGUUUAUUCUGGAAGACAUGAUUGCCAUAAUGU